ACAAUAUCCAUGAUAAUCCUGGAGUUGGAAUAUUGAUAUGAUCAAAUUGUUUGAUCGAAAAGGAGGAAUUAUGUAUUUUCAAAAAGAUCAGUGAGAGUGUCCAAUAUUGACAUCGGUUAAAAUAUGGUUGAAUAUGGAAUUCUUCAUGAAAGAUAUAAAGCAGGCAUCCUAAAGAUCUAUAGAGAUAGAUGCAAUAGGAUGCUUGUGUUUUCACAGAUAAAGUACAGAGAGUAGAUGCUGAAAGGGUUCAGCAUGAAAAUCUC
Molecule: long non-coding RNA, 263 nt
Filed under: Elaeis guineensis (African oil palm)
Lineage: Eukaryota; Viridiplantae; Streptophyta; Magnoliopsida; Arecales; Arecaceae
Description: long non-coding RNA (EGUI_LNC021399)
Source: RNAcentral